RNAcentral lists this ribosomal RNA (993 nucleotides) under Car pini. RNAcentral describes it as "SSU rRNA". It matches the Rfam family "Eukaryotic small subunit ribosomal RNA", at positions 441 to 1416 of the family's 1831-position model. Lineage: Eukaryota; Metazoa; Arthropoda; Insecta; Coleoptera; Caridae. The record is from RNAcentral.
UUACCCACUCCCGGCACGGGGAGGUAGUGACGAAAAAUAACGAUACGGGACUCAUCCGAGGCCCCGUAAUCGGAAUGAGUACACUCUAAACCCUUUAACGAGGAUCAAUUGGAGGGCAAGUCUGGUGCCAGCAGCCGCGGUAAUUCCAGCUCCAAUAGCGUAUAUUAAAGUUGUUGCGGUUAAAAAGCUCGUAGUCGAAUCUGUGUCUCGCGCCGCUGGUUCAUCGUCCGCGGUGUCAACUGGCGUGCCGCGAGACNUCCUGCCGGUGGGCUUAGCUCGCAAGGGCGGCCCAACUCAAUCCCGCCGCGGUGCUCUUCAUUGAGUGUCGAGGUGGGCCGGCACGUUUACUUUGAACAAAUUAGAGUGCUUAAAGCAGGUCAAAACUUUGCCUGAAUACUGUGUGCAUGGAAUAAUGGAAUAGGACCUCGGUUCUAUUUUGUUGGUUUUCGGAACCCCGAGGUAAUGAUUAAUAGGAACGGAUGGGGGCAUUCGUAUUGCGACGUUAGAGGUGAAAUUCUUGGAUCGUCGCAAGACGGACAGAAGCGAAAGCAUUUGCCAAAAACGUUUUCAUUGAUCAAGAACGAAAGUUAGAGGUUCGAAGGCGAUCAGAUACCGCCCUAGUUCUAACCAUAAACGAUGCCAGCUAGCGAUCCGUCGACGUUCCUCCGAUGACUCGACGGGNAGCUUCCGGGAAACCAAAGCUUUUGGGUUCCGGGGGAAGUAUGGUUGCAAAGCUGAAACUUAAAGGAAUUGACGGAAGGGCACCACCAGGAGUGGAGCCUGCGGCUUAAUUUGACUCAACACGGGAAACCUCACCAGGCCCGGACACCGGAAGGAUUGACAGAUUGAGAGCUCUUUCUUGAUUCGGUGGGUGGUGGUGCAUGGCCGUUCUUAGUUGGUGGAGCGAUUUGUCUGGUUAAUUCCGAUAACGAACGAGACUCUAGCCUGCUAACUAGGCGUAUUUUGACAUCGCAAAGGCCCGCCGGCNUGGGG